CACGUUUAUUUUAGUAGUGUCUCGAGCGCCAAGUAUGAAUAGCGGUGACGAAGGCACUACCGUGUCUCUAUUCCGCUCAAAUUAGCACUUUUGAGCGCUGGUGAGCGUGUUGAAUGCUCCUUUCUGUCAAACGUACCUAUACAUAAAUCAAGUCAUCGAAACAAGAACACAAAAUUUACUAAAAGAUGAACAAACGAAACAAAAAAUUAAAAUAGAUGUUUCUACAAAGAAAAAAAAAAGAGGUAGUGUGGGAAAAAUCUCAAGCUGCGAAACAAAAUGUAAGGGUUAUUUUAUUGCAAUAACAAUGAAGUAAAGUACAACCAAAUGAACAUUGUCAUUUUAUAGUUCAAUGUCUUGUUCCAGAUAUUACACAUCAAAAAGAAAAAAAGAAGAAGAAGAGAAGUUGGAAAAGAAAAGAAAAGGGUUCGACAAAUUAUUGAA
RNAcentral lists this long non-coding RNA (441 nucleotides) under Chelonus insularis. RNAcentral's name for it is "uncharacterized LOC118067683, transcript variant X2". Lineage: Eukaryota; Metazoa; Arthropoda; Insecta; Hymenoptera; Braconidae. The record is from RNAcentral.